Molecule: ribosomal RNA, 249 nt
Filed under: uncultured bacterium
Lineage: Bacteria
Description: partial 16S ribosomal RNA
Rfam family: Bacterial small subunit ribosomal RNA
Source: RNAcentral
GAGUAACGCGUGAGUAACCUGCCUUCAAGAGGGGGAUAACAUUCUGAAAAGAAUGCUAAUACCGCAUGACAUAUCGGAACCACAUGGUUUUGAUAUCAAAGAUUUUUAUCGCUUGAAGAUGGACUCGCGUCCGAUUAGUUAGUUGGUGAGGUAACGGCUCACCAAGACCGCGAUCGGUAGCCGGACUGAGAGGUUGAACGGCCACAUUGGGACUGAGACACGGCCCAGACUCCUACGGGAGGCAGCAUG